GGCUGUGCCAGAAAAAUCUGAUUGGCUUAGACAUUUACCAUACAAAAAGUUUGCAUGUUGAUAGCUUAUUUCUCCUCUGUUAGUUAUUUGGUAUAUAUUUUAUAAGUAAUAUACGCCGAGUGGAAUGCAGGAUGCCGGUUUACAGCUUCUGUGCGUACAAUAAUUACUCAUAUGUAGUUGUUUAUCUUUCAUGGCACAUAUUGUUCUCCUAAACAGGACUGGG
Non-coding RNA from Pelobates cultripes (western spadefoot toad), 223 nucleotides. NCBI's taxonomy places the organism in Eukaryota, Metazoa, Chordata, Amphibia, Anura, Pelobatidae. The record is from the annotation of a GenBank genome assembly.